UACGUAGGGUCCGAGCGUUGUCCGGAAUUACUGGGCGUAAAGAGCUCGUAGGCGGUUUGUCGCGUCUGCUGUGAAAUCCCGAGGCUCAACCUCGGGUCUGCAGUGGGUACGGGCAGACUAGAGUGUGGUAGGGGAGAUUGGAAUUCCUGGUGUAGCGGUGGAAUGCGCAGAUAUCAGGAGGAACACCGAUGGCGAAGGCAGAUCUCUGGGCCAUUACUGACGCUGAGGAGCGAAAGCGUGGGGAGCGAACAGG
Molecule: ribosomal RNA, 253 nt
Filed under: uncultured bacterium
Lineage: Bacteria
Description: partial 16S ribosomal RNA
Rfam family: Bacterial small subunit ribosomal RNA
Source: RNAcentral